AGCGUAGACGGCAAAGCAAGUCUGAAGUGAAAGCCCCGGGCUCAACCCGGGAACUGCUUUGGAAACUGUUUAGCUAGAGUGCAGGAGAGGUAAGUGGAAUUCCUAGUGUAGCGGUGAAAUGCGUAGAUAUUAGGAGGAACACCAGUGGCGAAGGCGGCUUACUGGACUGUAACUGACGUUGAGGCUCGAAAGCGUGGGGAGCAAACAG
This 208-nucleotide ribosomal RNA is filed under the name uncultured bacterium. Its description in RNAcentral is "partial 16S ribosomal RNA". It matches the Rfam family "Bacterial small subunit ribosomal RNA", at positions 568 to 775 of the family's 1533-position model. The record is from RNAcentral.